Molecule: ribosomal RNA, 237 nt
Filed under: uncultured Lactobacillus sp.
Lineage: Bacteria; Bacillati; Bacillota; Bacilli; Lactobacillales; Lactobacillaceae
Description: partial 16S ribosomal RNA
Rfam family: Bacterial small subunit ribosomal RNA
Source: RNAcentral
GUAGCCCAAGAGAUCGGGAUAACACCUGGAAACAGAUGCUAAUACCGGAUAACAACAGAUGAUGCCUAUCAACUGUUUAAAAGAUGGUUCUGCUAUCACUCUUGGAUGGACCUGCGGUGCAUUAGCUAGUUGGUAGGGUAACGGCCUACCAAGGCGAUGAUGCAUAGCCGAGUUGAGAGACUGAUCGGCCACAUUGGGACUGAGACACGGCCCAAACUCCUACGGGAGGCAGCAGAC